CGCUAAUAUUAUAGUCAUUCCAUCAACUAACCCUAGGGACACUACAGUUAAAAUAAAAUUACACUGUUUAAUUUUUUUUUUUUUGCAUUUUUAAAUAAAAUUGCACCACACUACAACAAAAACGGUCUAUAGCGACACUUUUAAAUAUAGGUACAUGUCAAAAAAGUGCUGCUAGGUAAAAUUACCGACACUUUUAAAAAGUGUUACUAUAUGUGGGGUCGCUAGGUAUAUAGUGACAGUUAAAGAGUGUCGCUAUAACCUAAAAGAGUGCUACUAAUUUACUAAUACUUAUUUAAGCAUUUAGCAACCGCCGAAACUCUAUCUCGUUGGCUGCGGUGGCGGAGGAGGACGACAGAAAAGGCUCUUCGUCUAGAAUUUCAGUAGAUUGAGUGAAGAGAGAAGAAAAGAUGGCAAUUGAUUUUUCUUUUUUUUUUCUUUUCUGUUUGUAAUCGGGCCAAAUGGACUGGGUGUGGUGGGUUGAGUAGAGUAAUCUUUUAUUUUUGGUUGGAUUGGGCUUUAUAUUUAGGCAUUAGCAAAUAUUUUUUUAAGUUUUAGUAUAAAUGGGACACUUACUCAAAAGUGUCCCAAACAUGUGUCCCUAUAACCUAAUUGU
RNAcentral lists this long non-coding RNA (613 nucleotides) under Ananas comosus (pineapple). RNAcentral's name for it is "long non-coding RNA (ACOM_LNC005164)". Lineage: Eukaryota; Viridiplantae; Streptophyta; Magnoliopsida; Poales; Bromeliaceae. The record is from RNAcentral.